Molecule: ribosomal RNA, 503 nt
Filed under: uncultured Actinomycetes bacterium
Lineage: Bacteria; Bacillati; Actinomycetota; Actinomycetes
Description: bacterial SSU rRNA
Rfam family: Bacterial small subunit ribosomal RNA
Source: RNAcentral
AGAGUUUGAUCCUGGCUCAGGAUGAACGCUGGCGGCGUGCUUAACACAUGCAAGUCGAACGAUGAUCCGGUGCUUGCACCGGGGAUUAGUGGCGAACGGGUGAGUAACACGUGAGUAACCUGCCCUUAACUCUGGGAUAAGCCUGGGAAACUGGGUCUAAUACCGGAUAUGACUCCUCAUCGCAUGGUGGGGGGUGGAAAGCUUUUUUGUGGUUUUGGAUGGACUCGCGGCCUAUCAGCUUGUUGGUGAGGUAAUGGCUCACCAAGGCGACGACGGGUAGCCGGCCUGAGAGGGUGACCGGCCACACUGGGACUGAGACACGGCCCAGACUCCUAUGGGAGGCAGCAGUGGGGAAUAUUGCACAAUGGGCGCAAGCCUGAUGCAGCGACGCCGCGUGAGGGAUGACGGCCUUCGGGUUGUAAACCUCUUUCAGUAGGGAAGAAGCGAAAGUGACGGUACCUGCAGAAGAAGCGCCGGCUAACUACGUGCCAGCAGCCGCGGUA